RNA transcript from Papaver somniferum (opium poppy), 1857 nucleotides. RefSeq lists it as uncharacterized. The record is from RefSeq and is a predicted model, not a curated record. NCBI's taxonomy places the organism in Eukaryota, Viridiplantae, Streptophyta, Magnoliopsida, Ranunculales, Papaveraceae. The transcript has 3 exons.
UUUAAUCAGUCGGUCAGUAUUUCUGUUUGUUCCGUCUCCCAUAACCCUAAGAUAUUCUCCAAAUCUUCCGUAUCAAGAAUUUUUGGUAUCUUCCUCUGAAGAUAACGGAAACAAAACAACUUGCAUAUAGAUUUCGCCAGAUUGAGUAACUAAUUUCCGAUUAAAACUGAGCAGAUUACUUUUUCCGCUGCCGAUUUUUGAUUCUCCCUCCAAAACCUAAAUCAAGAAACUAAUUUCCGAGUAAAAUUGAGGGGUUUUAGUUUCUUUUGGCGGGAUAUUUCCCACAAAUCGGUUUGGGGUUUCGAAUUUCGUCCAAUUCAGAAGGCUAUAUAAACCCCAAGUCAAGGAUGAAAUUUCUACACUCAUCAGUAAUAUCUUCGGAGACUUAUUUCUUAAAUCUUCAAGGUACUCUUUGAUUCUUUAGCCUUCUGCGUUUUCGUUUUUGUUUUUGAGUAUGGUUGUUGAUGGGUUCCUCUUCCGUGGAAUCAAAUCAAUGUCAAUAAUUUACAUUUUUUUUUUUUUAAAUUUUGAGUAUGGUUGUUGAUGGGUUCCUCUUCCAUGGAAUCAAAUGAGUGCCAAUUUUAAGCAAAACUCCAGCUGCUUUACAUCUAGUGGUGUUGCCUUUUAGUUUCUCAUCUGAACAGGAAUCAAAACAUUCUCAUUGCUAAUCAACUCCCAGCAUUAUUGAGAACUGGGGUACACGACCAAAUAGUAGCCGUAACUCAUCUCAUUCAGACCAUAUAAAGCCUUUAUAAAAGCAACUCAUCUCAUUAGAUACAAAUAGGAGUCCUCCAUGGUGUUCACACCUUCUGUGACCAUGUAGGUCACUCGAGUAUACAGCAUAAAGUUCACGCAAAAGUGAGUGAUCCACAUGAAGAAGAGACACCUGUUCCCCAUAGAUUAUUUAUUUUGUGGUUUCAGUCCCACCUGUGUGAUAUUACAUAACUUUGGGUUGACGUGAACCAGCAUUGUAUGAGGUAGGCAACAGGUUUAAAUCAAUGGCAAAUUCUUCCCUGUCAAGCAAAGCCCAGGUGUUCUUGUGAUACAUAGGUGACUGAAAAGGUUGUAACUUAAGUGUUAACACGUGCAUUAGUGGAGAAUACUUCCAGAGCCCCAUUUUCAAAAGGCUGUCUCGGUGCUUCUUUCUUUAGCAACUGAUGGCAUUUGGCGAACCAGGCACCUUUUGUUCUGUCGUGUGAUGAGAAACAAGAAAUCUGGAAAAGCACUGAAAAGCUACUCACAGACUCAGAAGUUGAGGUAAGGGAACAUGCUGCUGGAGUUCUUGCAGGCUUGUUAAAGGGUGGGGAUGAGGAUCUGGUCAGUAGAGUGGAGAUGGAGGCAAAAUUCGCUGAGUCAGCAGAAAGAAGGGAUUCACCGCUUUAUGCUUGGAUAGAGACCACCAUAGAUCCGUUGUACAAGAUCCUAGACUCCAUGUCAUCUGGGAUAAUUUCAGACCCUCUUGUAUAGGGCAUUGUCGCCUGCUUGUUAGUUUAAAGGACGUGCGCAGAGGUUUGCAAUGAGAAUGGUAAACUUGGUUGUGUGCUGGGGAUCUAAUGCUUGUUUUAUGCGGGUAACUCUCAAUCUUGCAUGUAGAAAACUGUAUGCCUAGAAUUUCAUGUCAUCUGGGAUAAUUUCCUUGGCAUAAUGCUUGAUUUAUAAGGAUAAUUCUCAGUCUGUAUGCCUAGAAUUACAUGUCAUUUGGGGUAGUUUGAUUGGCAGUGAGCCAACUCUUAUGUUGGGACUUAAUCAAGGCAAAUUAUAUAGGGUUUCAGUUUCUUUACAUUGCUUAUUGUCCAAGUAUGAAGCUGCUGAAGCUUUAGACAUGAAAGACUGCUAUGGAUUGGGCUUUGGGCUACA